Molecule: ribosomal RNA, 301 nt
Filed under: uncultured bacterium
Lineage: Bacteria
Description: partial 16S ribosomal RNA
Rfam family: Bacterial small subunit ribosomal RNA
Source: RNAcentral
CAGCAGCCGCGGGAAUACGAAGGGGGCUAGCGUUGUUCGGAUUAACUGGGCGUAAAGGGUGCGUAGGCGGGUUUUUAAGUCAGGGGUGAAAUCCCGGGGCUCAACCCCGGAACUGCCUUUGAUACUGGGUGUCUAGAGUAUGGAAGAGGUGAGUGGAAUUCCGAGUGUAGAGGUGAAAUUCGUAGAUAUUCGGAGGAACACCAGUGGCGAAGGCGGCUCACUGGUCCAUUACUGACGCUGAGGUGCGAAAGCGUGGGGAGCAAACAGGAUUAGAUACCCCCGUAGUCCCUGUCUCUUAUAC